Molecule: long non-coding RNA, 924 nt
Organism: Sorex fumeus (smoky shrew)
Lineage: Eukaryota; Metazoa; Chordata; Mammalia; Eulipotyphla; Soricidae
Exons: 2
Source: RefSeq, a predicted model, not a curated record
CCCACGCUCACCACAGCAGAGGAGCUGGCACUGCGCCUAACAUGAAGGCCGCCCUGGACGUCAGGGGACUGACCAGACUUCAGCCACCAACAGACACACCAAAAGGGAAGAGCUUCUCCCCGCUGGUGACUGUGCUGACCAGACUCCCUGCCGAGGUCGGUGACCACGAAGGAAUGCGGGAGACGCAGUGAACCCCUUCACGAGCUUCCUUAGCAGAGCUGUGGAGUGUGACAAUGGUGUUUGUGUCCAAGCUCUCAAACGCCAUUAUCACACUAAAUAGCUACUGUUAGGCCAUCCUUCCACUUGCUGGCGCUGGGGUCACGGGGGCAAGAAGGUUUGUCUUGUAGCAGGGCUCCCAGACAUGUGUAAUGACUGAGUAAAUACCUCAGGGUUUCUGCACUAGGAAGUGAAGUCAGUUGCCCUUGGCAUCGCUUCAGAUGCUGUUAAAUUCUCUCCCUGCAGGGCUGGAGCAAUAGCACAGCAGGUAGAGCAUUUGCCUUGCACCUGGCCAACCCAGGUUCGAUUCCCAGCAUCGCAUAUGGUCCCCGGAGCACCGCCAGGAGUAAUUCCUGAGUGCAUGAGCCAGGAGUAACCGCUGUGCAAAGCCGGGUGUGACCCAAGAAGGAAAAAAAAAGAAAAAAUAAUUCCCUCCCCGCUGAGUGGAUUUCUCGCUUUCCUGCGUCAACAGGAAGAUGGCUCUGCGCGCCCAGGAGCACCGAGCACAAAUCUGGGCCCCUACUCUCCAGGGGGGCUCCUGCUUAUUGAGCUGAAAUGCAAGAGUGGGAAAGUCUGAGAAGCCCCAAAACCCAAACCAACCAAAAUCUAGGUCAGGCAGACAGCAGGCUUCUGAGUGCAAAAUUAAAAGGGAGUCACGGUUCGUUAAAAAAAUAAUAAUUCUAAUAAACUGACACAUGGCUUAAGUGA